CCCAGCACUCACACGCAAACACAUCGCAAAACACCCUAUUAUGAAGUGAACUCGUGAACAACGGGAGGCGUGAUGAUCCGAGAGCCUGGAGGGAUGGACAUCCCUGUGCUCCAAUGAGGCUCUCCGAGAGUCCUAAACAGGAGCCUCCUCCAUCAUACAACACUGCAUGACUCCAACCAGUGCAAGUCAUCCGAGUAAGGUCGGGUCGCGGCGGCAACAGCUACGGCACGAGACCCCAAACUUCCCUUUUCCGGGCCACAUCUACCAGCUGUGACAGGGGGAUCCCAAGGCUUUCCCAGGCCAACGUGGAGAUGUAAUCCCUCCACCUAGUCCUGGGUCUCCCCGGGGCCUCAUCCCAGCUGGCCGUGCCUAGGGAGGUGAACCAAAUCAACUGACUCCUGUCAAUGCAAGCUCUACUCCGAGCUUCUCA
Long non-coding RNA from Gasterosteus aculeatus aculeatus (three-spined stickleback), 430 nucleotides. NCBI's taxonomy places the organism in Eukaryota, Metazoa, Chordata, Actinopteri, Perciformes, Gasterosteidae. The record is from Ensembl.